Molecule: transfer RNA, 73 nt
Filed under: Ictidomys tridecemlineatus (thirteen-lined ground squirrel)
Lineage: Eukaryota; Metazoa; Chordata; Mammalia; Rodentia; Sciuridae
Description: Spermophilus tridecemlineatus (thirteen-lined ground squirrel) tRNA
Rfam family: tRNA
About the family: Transfer RNA (tRNA) molecules are approximately 80 nucleotides in length. Their secondary structure includes four short double-helical elements and three loops (D, anti-codon, and T loops).
Source: Rfam by way of RNAcentral
UGGGUUGUGGCUCAGUAGUAAGAGCGCUUGUCUCGCAUGUGUGGAGAACUGGGUUCAAUCCUCAGCACCACAA